UACGGGGGGGGCAAGCGUUGUUCGGAAUUACUGGGCGUAAAGGGCUUGUAGGUGGCCAACUAAGUCAGACGUGAAAUCCCUCGGCUUAACCGGGGAACUGCGUCUGAUACUGGAUGGCUUGAGUUCGGGAGAGGGAUGCGGAAUUCCAGGUGUAGCGGUGAAAUGCGCAGAUAUCAGGAGGAACACCGGUGGCGAAGGCGGUUCUCUGGGCAUUAACUGACGCUGAGGAGCGAAAGCAUGGGGAGCGAACAGG
This 253-nucleotide ribosomal RNA is filed under the name uncultured bacterium. RNAcentral's name for it is "partial 16S ribosomal RNA". It matches the Rfam family "Bacterial small subunit ribosomal RNA", at positions 524 to 776 of the family's 1533-position model. The record is from RNAcentral.